Molecule: long non-coding RNA, 1002 nt
Organism: Notolabrus celidotus (New Zealand spotty)
Lineage: Eukaryota; Metazoa; Chordata; Actinopteri; Labriformes; Labridae
Exons: 4
Source: RefSeq, a predicted model, not a curated record
UCAGUCGUGUCUGAAAUGUGUGGAUGAGUGAGAGUGUUGUGUGAUGUUAGUGAUGCAUGCUCCCAACCAAACAAAGACAGGAUGAGGAAGGAGCAGCAGGCCCAGCUGAGCUGGCUCAAACAACAUGCCAUCUCCAGAUAACCUGCCGUGUGAGGGAAACACAAGAAGACUGAGAGACUGAAACACACAUGACAUGCAGACAGAUUCUUCAAUUUAAGAACACAGAGAAGCGAUCCUCAACCUCUCACCUUGUCUGAGAUUUUGACGAACAGGCUGAAGCCCUCCGGUGAUUUGAGCAGCAGCCUGGUCGAGAUGUUCUGGCAGAAAUCCUUUGCUUUGGUGCUGGACUCCACCUCAAAGGCCUGCAGCCUCCACCUCCACCAGAUGAGGGGGGUACUUCCUGGAUCCGUUACUGCUCAGCGUGACAACAAAGACAGAGAAGCAGGGAGAGAAAUACCAGUCCAGUUGGCUUCUACUAACAACUAAACAUAGAUUUGUGCAGCCUCUGCAUGCAGUCUCCGGACAGCGGGUGGUGUUUCUUGGACUGGAGGAAGCGCUGGAUGUGCGGCAGCAGCAUGUUGCUGGGAGGAUACAGACCGGUGCACAACCAGAGGAGCUCCCAGCCUUUCUCCUCGCUGUACCUGCAGCAGAACAACCAUCACGUUCAGCCUCUCAACUUUAACACCUGCAGGAGUUCAAUGCUGCAUAUUUAUAACAUUACUCUGAUAAGAUUGAUAUUGAUGUGUCAUGUCACACACUUGACGUGGUUGUCAGUGAGCUGUUUGAUGAUCUGACAGUAGAUCUCGUCUUUGAGAGGCUCGGCUUUCAGCGCUCCUUCAAAGAUCUGGUCGGUCAGCUCGUUGACUGAGCGCGUGCGUUUGGACGGAUAGUCGCCCAUGUACUUCAUCAUCGGUGGGACAGACGUCAAGGAAGACAACAACCUUAUAAACUUUACCAUAAAUAUAGAAUGUGUUUAAAUAUCUGGAUGUGUGACAACAUGGG